UGGGGAAUCUUGCGCAAUGGGCGGAAGCCUGACGCAGCGACGCCGCGUGCGGGACGAAGGGCCUUCGGGUCGUAAACCGCUUUCAGCAGGGACGAGGCCCUCACGGUGACGGUACCUGCAGAAGAAGCCCCGGCUAACUACGUGCC
Molecule: ribosomal RNA, 146 nt
Filed under: uncultured bacterium
Lineage: Bacteria
Description: partial 16S ribosomal RNA
Rfam family: Bacterial small subunit ribosomal RNA
Source: RNAcentral